Molecule: ribosomal RNA, 492 nt
Filed under: uncultured bacterium
Lineage: Bacteria
Description: partial 16S ribosomal RNA
Rfam family: Bacterial small subunit ribosomal RNA
Source: RNAcentral
AGUGAACGCUGGCGGUAGGCCUAACACAUGCAAGUCGAACGGCAGCACAGUAAGAGCUUGCUCUUACGGGUGGCGAGUGGCGGACGGGUGAGGAAUACAUCGGAAUCUACUUUUUCGUGGGGGAUAACGUAGGGAAACUUACGCUAAUACCGCAUACGACCUACGGGUGAAAGCAGGGGAUCUUCGGACCUUGCGCGAUUGAAUGAGCCGAUGUCGGAUUAGCUAGUUGGCGGGGUAAAGGCCCACCAAGGCGACGAUCCGUAGCUGGUCUGAGAGGAUGAUCAGCCACACUGGAACUGAGACACGGUCCAGACUCCUACGGGAGGCAGCAGUGGGGAAUAUUGGACAAUGGGCGCAAGCCUGAUCCAGCCAUGCCGCGUGGGUGAAGAAGGCCUUCGGGUUGUAAAGCCCUUUUGUUGGGAAAGAAAAGCAGCAUGUUAAUACCCCGCUGUUCUGACGGUACCCAAAGAAUAAGCACCGGCUAACUUCGUG